AACGAACGCUGGCGGCAUGCCUAACACAUGCAAGUCGAACGAGAUCUUCGGGUCUAGUGGCGCACGGGUGCGUAACGCGUGGGAACCUGCCCUUAGGUUCGGAAUAACUCCCCGAAAGGGGUGCUAAUACCGGAUAAUGUCUUCGGACCAAAGAUUUGUCGCCUUUGGAUGGGCCCGCGUUGGAUUAGCUAGUUGGUAGGGUAAAAGCCUACCAAGGCGACGAUCCAUAGCUGGUCUGAGAGGAUGAUCAGCCACACUGGGACUGAGACACGGCCCAGACUCCUACGGGAGGCAGCAGUGGGGAAUAUUGGACAAUGGGCGAAAGCCUGAUCCAGCAAUGCCGCGUGAGUGAUGAAGGCCUUAGGGUUGUAAAGCUCUUUUACCCGGGAUGAUAAUGACAGUACCGGGAGAAUAAGCUCCGGCUAACUCCGUG
RNAcentral lists this ribosomal RNA (433 nucleotides) under uncultured bacterium. RNAcentral's name for it is "partial 16S ribosomal RNA". It matches the Rfam family "Bacterial small subunit ribosomal RNA", at positions 29 to 507 of the family's 1533-position model. The record is from RNAcentral.